Rhodamnia argentea is the source of this 407-nucleotide long non-coding RNA. RefSeq lists it as uncharacterized. NCBI's taxonomy places the organism in Eukaryota, Viridiplantae, Streptophyta, Magnoliopsida, Myrtales, Myrtaceae. The record is from RefSeq and is a predicted model, not a curated record. The transcript is spliced from 2 exons.
GAACCGGACAACACAGCCAAGACCUCGAGUCCAUCUAACCGAGUAAGCUAGUUAUGAAGAAGUUAAGGAGAAAACAACCUUCGAUAGUGAAGAAAUUGAGAAAGUAAGAGAUUUGUUAGGGUCUCUUAAUAAACCCUCCGGUGCAUGCUCACUAGCACUCUUAGGAUCGGGGCUCGGAGAAAAGGAUUGAACUUACUAAGGAACAAAGUGGGUUGUACUACCUUGAAACACCACUCACUGCAAGAAGAAUCAUGAUAAAUCUAUCUUCAUCGUUUCUUAAUACUUCAAACAAAGAAGCUAUUUUGUUUCAUCAUUUUCGUUUUGGUCAUCCGUCCUUUUAAGUCUUGAGUAUUAUGUUUCCAUCCUUGUUUAAAGGUUUGAAUAUCAAAGAUUUCCAUUGUGAUGUU